This 399-nucleotide ribosomal RNA is filed under the name uncultured bacterium. RNAcentral describes it as "partial 16S ribosomal RNA". It matches the Rfam family "Bacterial small subunit ribosomal RNA", at positions 361 to 776 of the family's 1533-position model. The record is from RNAcentral.
AUAUUGCACAAUGGGCGCAAGCCUGAUGCAGCAACGCCGCGUGCGCGACGAAGGCCUUCGGGUCGUAAAGCGCUUUUCGGUGAGCUGAGCACGGACGGUAUCCCCGGAGGAAGGAUCGGCUAACUACGUGCCAGCAGCCGCGGUAAAACGUAGGAUCCGACCGUUAUCCGAAUUCACUGGUCGUAAAGCGCAUGCAGGCUGGCGCACAAGUGGGAUGUGAAAUCUCCCGGCUCAACUGGGAGGGGACGUUCAAAACUGUGCGGCUCGAGGGCGGUAGAGGAAGGUAGAAUUCCCGGUGUAGUGGUGAAAUGCGUAGAUAUCGGGAGGAAUACCCGUGGCGAAGGCGACCUUCUGGACCGUUUCUGACGCUCAGAUGCGAAAGCUAGGGGAGCGAACGGG